UCUGAAAUUUACAUUUGUAUUGAUGGAAGGAAUUUUAUAUUAAUAAAUAACUAGUCUUUACACAUCAAAGGAAUGGAUUUUUUGGAUAGAGACAAAAACUUUUGGACCAUCACAGAAGAAGCGUGAUGUGUGUUCUAUAAGUAUACGGGCCAUAUCAAGUAAUAAAGUGAUAAAUAAAGUAUCGUUCCUACGAGAAAUUGUAUUUGAGUACUUGACUAUGGUUGUUUUGAUUAUUUAGAUUAAUG
RNAcentral lists this unclassified non-coding RNA (245 nucleotides) under Hevea brasiliensis (rubber tree). Lineage: Eukaryota; Viridiplantae; Streptophyta; Magnoliopsida; Malpighiales; Euphorbiaceae. The record is from RNAcentral.